Long non-coding RNA from Loxodonta africana (African savanna elephant), 2050 nucleotides. RefSeq lists it as uncharacterized. The transcript has 3 exons. Lineage: Eukaryota; Metazoa; Chordata; Mammalia; Proboscidea; Elephantidae. The record is from RefSeq and is a predicted model, not a curated record.
GUGUUUGGAGAGACUCUUAUUAAUGGAUAUUUGUGAAAUUAUUUUUAUUUUAGUUACACUCUUUGUGAUAGCUGACAUUAUGGCUCUAUGACUUGGAAAGCUAGUCCAUAUCACUUGCCUUAGACUUCUCAGAAAUGUAACACUGAAUCCUUCAUAAUACUGAGAAAAAAAUAAAUAUAAACAUGACAAAACUCGUCUUAUUAAAUUUGGCAUGAAUGAGAGGCGGAGAGAGAGAUGGGCUUUCAAAUAUUAUUUUGCCUGAUGCACUAAUACAGUAGGCAGUAGACAGGAGGCCAUUUCAAUGAAAAUUAAUUAAAAUAAAAAAAUCAUUUUUUUAGUAGCAAUAGCUACAUUUAAAAAUGCUCAUAUAGCCAUAUGUGGCUAGCCGGUACUAUGUUAGACAGCUGAGAUAUAAAAAAAAAAAAAAUUCCCAUCAUUACAGAAGUUCUAUUGGACAACACCCCAGUAGAGAGACAUGGUAAAGUGAAGAAAAUCGCUUUGUCAUCUGUAGGCAUGAAAUCUUACUUUCCUUCUGUCAUUUGCCAUAGUAAAGAAACUGUUACUCUGUGAGAAGAAAAUCUAGUAGUGCGUUUGUUUUCCUUCUGACAUGUCUUUCAACUGUCAUGUCCUCCCAUCCACCUUACACUUGGAUUGUCACAUCCUUCCUCUUCAAUCUAUAUGUUAAACAGAGAGAUGCCAGCCAUUUUCAUCUGUCUUCCUCUUCCCUGCUAAAUAAAGCAGCUUUUCCAACUACCACUACUCUUGACUAUAAAUAGUCAGCCUGUGACUAGAAAAGAUUGGAUUAUACAAUCUUCAGGAAGCAGCUUUCUGCCUUCAAUGGGUUUCUAGUAAAUAUCCUCACCCCAAAAUACUUUCCAAGAGUCUGGUUGCACUGCCUGAAAUUCUAGCAUGUUCCUGAAACUUUUUCAUUUUGCUAAAGUCCAUUACGGAAAUGCAAAUUCCUGGCUGCUGUGUAUCAGUCUGGUUUCCACACGUAAAUGCUUUUAAGUUUACAGAACCUGGAAGGAAAAGAGCUCUGGAAACUAGGGAAGACAGACUUUGUGAGGGGGAGUUUCCAUGAAAGUGUCGGGAUGCUUCUGAAAAUGGAGACUUCCUCACAGUGAAAGAAGAGAGCAGGAACGUGAAGAUUGAUUCCACCAGUGGCCGUGGACUCACAUUCUCAGACCUUGCUGUGCCACAAAAUGUCCCAGACCAGAAGGCUGGGUUGUGUGCCUGGCCUUUGGCUCCAGGAAGAAGACAGAAGCCUCCACAAGAAGGGAAGAGCUCAACAGUCGAGUUUCCAGUAACCUGCAGGAAAUUCUCCAGCUUUUAUAAACGUUGACACAGCAAAAGCUGGCUACUUCAAAUGACGACAUGUAUUACAGUUUCUGGAUUUUCCUAGGAAAAAUCGAGCCUUCACUUUUUGAAAAACAGCACUCUAUAGCUACAAAAAACUUAAAAAAAAAAAUAUUCUUUUCAUAUUUACAUCAGUUCAGAGUCAAAUAUGCUUUAAUAAAAUUUCAUUAAAAUAAGAUAGACAUAGACUACGAAAAAAUAUUAUUCAGAAAACAAAGUGCUGUACAAAGAGUUUGAGAUGUUAAAAAACACAGCUUUCUUCAAUUUUUUUCCCCCCACAGGCAUUGUUGGGUAUUAUGAAGGAAUACUCUGCUAUAUUACAAUUUAUACUUUUUAUUUUGGAGAAAAAGCUUAAAUAUUUCUACACCUACAGGGUUUUAAUACAUAUAAUUGAUUAGUAAAAUUUAGAACAUGUGCUAGCUUUGGGAACUAAAAUGUUACAGUCAUUAAUAAUACUGUCUGCCUUGAGGAUAAAGUUGGGGGUCAUAUAAUUGCACAAUUUAACAGAUGACAUUUUAGACUUAUAUAUCUUAGUUUGUUUUUAAUAAGUUUUAAUUAAUUGGCUACUUAUUUUGUGAUUUAAUGUUAUUUAUAUUUACUAAUAAGGAGCCUGGGAAACCCUAUGGAGCAUUCUACUCUCUAACAUGUGAUUGUCGCCAUGAGUUAAAGUCAACGCCAGGACAGCUAACAACAA